GGGAGAACAGCUCAGAAUAACCUGUCACCAGAGCUCCCCGAGAGGGAAAACUGAAAUCGUGAGGCAUAUUUAAACUUGUUCAUAAAAGACUUUCUUAGAUUGCCAAGAUGAGACUGCUGGGGCCACAGAGCCUGCGGGUGACCGACCCCCUGGGUGAUAGAUGCAACUUCCAAGGAGCACAAAGAGAGCAAGGAAAUGGAGCCCUUUCCAGCAAGACCCCAGAGACGGCUGCUUCCAUUGAACACUCUUGGAAUCACAGAGAUCGCUCAUAGGCCUUCAGGCCUUUCCAGGCUGCCUUAGGCCCGGGCGUCCCCAUUGGAUCUCUUGGGCAUCUUGUCUGGGAGCAAUCAACAUAAUUCCUUCAUCUAUCAUCUUCCCAGGGCACAAACCCCAUGUCCCAACAACAAGGCUUCUUACUGGAAAAGAGCAAGUUAUGUAGGGUUAUCUGUUCCUCCCUCCUCCUCUUUUGCCCUUCUUUUCCAAAGACUGGAAAUCUGGUUGCCGUGGUGCAAAGGAUUCUGGGAAGAACAGGAAUGACAACAUUGCAAAUGGACAACAGUGAAAGGGGAAAUGGAGGAAGCGCUGCUCUCGAAGCUUCGCCUGUGGCUGGGGCGCCUACACGCACUGUGAGACUUCUGCACUCCUGCUUUUCUGUACCGGAUUCCUGAUCGGGACUUCCACUUCCCCAAUGCAGACCACUUCACCAGAUUGUGUUUUUGGUUGACUGCCACGUCUUCCAGAUCCUGUGUUAUACCUGCUGGGCUGGACUUCCGACGAGCUGCUUCAGCUCGAGCUGUUCCCCCAGCGCCUGACUUUGCUCCGUGGGUAGAAUUCCAGAGCUUGCCCCACCCAGUCUGCCCUGUUCCUCCGCAGUGAAUUGAGCCACGCUCAGCCUGACUGUAGCAAGUGUACGUGCACGUCGUCUUGCUCCAUAUUAGCCUAAAGGUCGAAAUGGAGACGUAAGACUACACGUUUGCAAAAUCAUUUCAUGUACAUGGUUCUAAGACAUAAAACUAUGUAAAAGAUAUUUUAGAAACAAAACACCUCGCAACUACCACACAUCGUAUUUUUAAAAGGCUUAACACACCCAAACAUCCGGGUGCAGGGGGAGCCUCUCCCCUCCCUCUCCCCACUGUGGACCAGUAGAUAAUAUUUAGAACACAUUUUUGGUUGUCUUAGCAGCCUCAAAUGACCUUUCUUUCAGUUGAAGCAAUUGAAGCAAAUAUCCAAAAGAGAAGUCAGGUAGGAAGUAAUGUUUAACCUUAACUUGUUAGUUCAGUAAACACUUUUGGAAGAGUAUGCCUGUGCCUGCCAACAGACUGGCUGUAUCUUUCAUGGCCUCACAAAAGUGUCAGGAGCUCAUCUGUUCUGAAGUCCAAGUCUGUCAACCCAGUCGCCACCGAAAUCCAGCUCCUGGAGCAUUACUCAACAGGAAAGGGGUUACGAUCAAUGGGUGUCCAAGGGAGACUGUGGAGUAGAAAAGCUUGGGGUGCAGACCUUAGACCUUCGCAUGAAUCCCGGUGCAGCCACCCCCGAGCUGUGCUGCACAGGCAAACACAGCUCCUCUUGGAGGACUGACUGUUCCUGGGUCAAAUGGGGUAACCAGGUUGCAAGAAACGAAUGAAGUCACUCGAAUGAAGUCACUCGGGAUCUAUAAACUCCUCUCAACCUUAAACUGCAUUCAGCAUCAGAAUGAAGUUCUCAAUCCAAGCUCAAAGGUAUUUUCAAGGAAGUUCCCUCAAUUUACUAAAACUAAAUUUAGAUCGACCCAGGAUUGCCCCCUAGCGGUCAUCUCAAAAUCUCUGAAAAAAAUACUGAAUUCACAAAUUCAUUUUUUUCCUAUG
Long non-coding RNA from Phyllostomus hastatus (greater spear-nosed bat), 1844 nucleotides. RefSeq lists it as uncharacterized. Lineage: Eukaryota; Metazoa; Chordata; Mammalia; Chiroptera; Phyllostomidae. The record is from RefSeq and is a predicted model, not a curated record. The transcript is spliced from 3 exons.